RNAcentral lists this non-coding RNA (93 nucleotides) under Gemmatimonadota bacterium. RNAcentral describes it as "Gemmatimonadetes bacterium c-di-GMP sequence". It matches the Rfam family "c-di-GMP-II-GAG riboswitch aptamer". Lineage: Bacteria; Pseudomonadati; Gemmatimonadota. The record is from RNAcentral.
GCGCAACUUAGAUGCUGUGAUCCCCGAGGCGCGAUGUCGUGUGGCUCGCCAAUGCCUCGAGGGGAGCGAAUCGCGAAACCGGCUAAGUGGGGG